RNAcentral lists this ribosomal RNA (253 nucleotides) under uncultured bacterium. RNAcentral's name for it is "partial 16S ribosomal RNA". It matches the Rfam family "Bacterial small subunit ribosomal RNA", at positions 524 to 776 of the family's 1533-position model. The record is from RNAcentral.
UACGUAUGUGGCGAGCGUUGUUCGGAAUCACUGGGCAUAAAGAGUUCGUAGGCGGAUGCGUCAGUUGGGUGUGAAAUCCCGAGGCUUACCCUCGGAACUGCACUCAAUACUGCGUAUCUGGAGUCCUUCAGGGGUAAGUGGAAUUCCAUGUGUAGCGGUGAAAUGCGUAGAUAUAUGGGAGAACGCCAAUGGCGAAGGCAGCUUACUGGGGAGUGACUGACGCUGAGGAACGAAAGUUAGGGUAUCGAACGGG